UACGUAGGGGGCAAGCGUUGUCCGGAUUUAUUGGGCGUAAAGAGCGUGUAGGCGGCCUGAAAGGUCAGCUGUGAAAACUCGAGGCUCAACCUCGAGACGUCGGUUGAAACCAUCUGGCUAGAGUCCGGAAGAGGAGUGUGGAAUUCCCGGUGUAGCGGUGAAAUGCGCAGAUAUCGGGAAGAACACCGAUGGCGAAGGCAGGUCACUGGGCCGCAACUGACGCUGAGGAGCGAAAGCAUGGGGAGCGAACGAGG
This 254-nucleotide ribosomal RNA is filed under the name uncultured bacterium. RNAcentral describes it as "partial 16S ribosomal RNA". It matches the Rfam family "Bacterial small subunit ribosomal RNA", at positions 524 to 777 of the family's 1533-position model. The record is from RNAcentral.